Small nuclear RNA from Sciurus vulgaris (Eurasian red squirrel), 111 nucleotides. Its record names the gene U2. It matches the Rfam family "U2 spliceosomal RNA". From Rfam's summary of the family: U2 is a small nuclear RNA (snRNA) component of the spliceosome (involved in pre-mRNA splicing). Complementary binding between U2 snRNA (in an area lying towards the 5' end but 3' to hairpin I) and the branchpoint sequence (BPS) of the intron results the bulging out of an unpaired adenosine, on the BPS, which initiates a nucleophilic attack at the intronic 5' splice site, thus starting the first of two transesterification reactions that mediate splicing. NCBI's taxonomy places the organism in Eukaryota, Metazoa, Chordata, Mammalia, Rodentia, Sciuridae. The record is from Ensembl.
AUCGCUUCUCGGCCUUUUGGCUAAGAUCAAGUGUAGUAUCUGUUCUUAUCAGUUUAAUAUCAGUGAUAUUGAAAAUAACUAUGCUAUUUAAGUUACUCUCAUACAAUUACU